RNAcentral lists this ribosomal RNA (853 nucleotides) under Agaricus sp. 1 BOS-2020. RNAcentral describes it as "partial large subunit ribosomal RNA". It matches the Rfam family "Eukaryotic large subunit ribosomal RNA", at positions 86 to 924 of the family's 3401-position model. Lineage: Eukaryota; Fungi; Basidiomycota; Agaricomycetes; Agaricales; Agaricaceae. The record is from RNAcentral.
ACUGCGAGUGAAGCGGGAAAAGCUCAAAUUUAAAAUCUGGCGGUCUUUGGCCGUCCGAGUUGUAAUCUAGAGAAGUAAUGCCCGUGCUGGACCGUGUAUAAGUCUCCUGGGAUGGGGCGUCAUAGAGGGUGAGAAUCCCGUCUUUGACACGGACUACCAGUGCAUUGUGGUAUGCUCUCAAAGAGUCGAGUUGUUUGGGAAUGCAGCUCAAAAUGGGUGGUAAAUUCCAUCUAAAGCUAAAUAUUGGCGAGAGACCGAUAGCGAACAAGUACCGUGAGGGAAAGAUGAAAAGAACUUUGGAAAGAGAGUUAAACAGUACGUGAAAUUGCUGAAAGGGAAACGCUUGAAGUCAGUCGCGUUGGCCGGGAAUCAGCCUUGCUUUUCUGCAUGGUGUACUUUCUGGUCGACGGGUCAGCAUCAAUUUUGACCACUGGAAAAGGCUCAAGGGAAUGUGGCAGCUUCGGCUGUGUUAUAGCCCCUGUUCACAUACAGUGGUUGGGAUUGAGGAACUCAGCACGCCGCAAGGCCGGGUUUCGACCACGUUCGUGCUUAGGAUGCUGGCAUAAUGGCUUUAAGCGACCCGUCUUGAAACACGGACCAAGGAGUCUAACAUGCCUGCGAGUAUUUGAGUGGAAAACCCAAGUGCGCAAUGAAAGUGAAAGUUGAGAUCCCUGUCGUGGGGAGCAUCGACGCCCGGACCAGAACUUUUGGGACGGAUCCGCGGUGGAGCAUGUAUGUUGGGACCCGAAAGAUGGUGAACUAUGCCUGAAUAGGGUGAAGCCAGAGGAAACUCUGGUGGAGGCUCGUAGCGAUUCUGACGUGCAAAUCGAUCGUCAAAUUUGGGUAUAGGGGC